Molecule: long non-coding RNA, 367 nt
Filed under: Homo sapiens (human)
Lineage: Eukaryota; Metazoa; Chordata; Mammalia; Primates; Hominidae
Description: HSALNT0015805
Source: RNAcentral
UUGGGUGUGCGGGGGCCAGGACAGAGGCUGCAUAAAGGGGGUGUCCCACGGAGUAUCUUGAGAGGAUUGUCAUGUGGUGUCUGUGAUGAGGGAUCACGUGGGUACCUAUGGAAGACCAAAGGAAAGCUGGGUGGGAAUCUCACCAUGUCCGAGGUAGGGAGGAGAUGAUCUCGAAGGAGGGUUCGGAGGCAUCCCCAGGCAUUCCCCUAGGGAAAUGUAUAUUCAGUAGGACAGGUGGGCAAGCAUGUACAUAUAUUCACGUUCAUGUGGUAGAUAGCUCCCAGGAUGCAGAUGCAAUAGGGAGAACAGAAGGAAUGGAGGAUGUUGGUCUCUAUUCCCUGUUUCCAGCUGAGAAAUGGGGACCCAU